GAUGAACGCUGGCGGCGUGCCUAACACAUGCAAGUCGAGCGAACAGAUGAGGAGCUUGCUCCUCUGACGUUAGCGGCGGACGGGUGAGUAACACGUGGAUAACCUACCUAUAAGACUGGGAUAACUUCGGGAAACCGGAGCUAAUACCGGAUAAUAUAUUGAACCGCAUGGUUCAAUAGUGAAAAACGGUUCUGCUGUCACUUAUAGAGGGAUCCGCGCCGCAUUAGCUAGUUGGUAAGGUAACGGCUUACCAAGGCAACGAUGCGUAGCCGACCUGAGAGGAUGAUCAGCCACACUGGAACUGAGACACGGUCCAGACUCCUACGGGAGGCAGCAGUAGGGAAUCUUCCACAAAGGGCGAAAGCCUGACGGAGCAACGCCGCGUGAGUGAUGAAGGUCUUCGGAUCGUAAAACUCUGUUAUUUGGGAAGAACAAAUGUGUAAGUAACUAUGCACGUCUUGACGGUACCUAAUCAGAAAGCCACGGCUAACUACGUG
RNAcentral lists this ribosomal RNA (497 nucleotides) under uncultured bacterium. Its description in RNAcentral is "partial 16S ribosomal RNA". It matches the Rfam family "Bacterial small subunit ribosomal RNA", at positions 28 to 507 of the family's 1533-position model. The record is from RNAcentral.